Podarcis lilfordi (Lilford's wall lizard) is the source of this 69-nucleotide non-coding RNA. The record is from the annotation of a GenBank genome assembly. NCBI's taxonomy places the organism in Eukaryota, Metazoa, Chordata, Lepidosauria, Squamata, Lacertidae.
GACCUUCAGUGGUGAUAGAACUCCUGCUUUACACGCAGAAGGUCCCAGGUUCAGUCCCUGGCAUCUCCA